CCGCCCCAGGUGGCGGAGGGAAGCCGUUAAGCCCGCCGCCUGGGGAGUACAGCCGCAAGGCUGAAACUUAAAGGAAUUGGCGGGGGGGCACCACAAGGGGUGAAGCUUGCGGCUUAAUUGGAGUCAACGCCGGAAACCUUACCCGGGGCGACGGCAGGAUGAUGGCCAGGCUAACGACCUUGCCGGACGAGCUGAGAGGAGGUGCAUGGCCGUCGUCAGCUCGUGCCGUGAGGUGUCCGGUUAAGUCCGGCAACGAGCGAGACCC
Molecule: ribosomal RNA, 265 nt
Filed under: uncultured archaeon
Lineage: Archaea
Description: partial small subunit ribosomal RNA
Rfam family: Archaeal small subunit ribosomal RNA
Source: RNAcentral